RNAcentral lists this ribosomal RNA (465 nucleotides) under uncultured bacterium. Its description in RNAcentral is "partial 16S ribosomal RNA". It matches the Rfam family "Bacterial small subunit ribosomal RNA", at positions 28 to 507 of the family's 1533-position model. The record is from RNAcentral.
GACGAACGCUGGCGGCGUGCUUAACACAUGCAAGUCGAACGGAAAGGCCCUGCUUGCAGGGUACUCGAGUGGCGAACGGGUGAGUAACACGUGGGUGAUCUGCCCUGCACUUCGGGAUAAGCCUGGGAAACUGGGUCUAAUACCGGAUAGGAGCCAUUUUUAGUGUGAUGGUUGGAAAGUUUUUUCGGUGUAGGAUGAGCUCGCGGCCUAUCAGCUUGUUGGUGGGGUAAUGGCCUACCAAGGCGGCGACGGGUAGCCGGCCUGAGAGGGUGGACGGCCACAUUGGGACUGAGAUACGGCCCAGACUCCUACGGGAGGCAGCAGUGGGGAAUAUUGCACAAUGGGCGCAAGCCGGAUGCAGCGACGCCGCGUGGGGGAGGACGGCCUUCGGGUUGUAAACGCCUUUCGCUAGGGACGAAGCUUUUUGUGACGGUACCUAGAGAAGAAGCACCGGCUAACUACGUG